This 5351-nucleotide long non-coding RNA is filed under the name Sus scrofa (pig). RNAcentral's name for it is "lncRNA (ENSSSCG00000060255.1)". The record is from RNAcentral. Lineage: Eukaryota; Metazoa; Chordata; Mammalia; Artiodactyla; Suidae.
AAUCAAAGCGAUUAGAAAAGAACUUCUAGAGCCUUCCACCACCACAUCCACCCCCUGCCUUCUUGUGCCCCAAAGUUGCAGGAAUCAUGCCCUCUACUUUGCUUUCUUUUUCCACAGAUAAACCUUUGGCACUUCCAUGUAUAACUUUCCCAGGUGGGCACCAAUUUCUGUGUUUCUUCUCCUCCUCAAGGACAAGACUUCAGUGACCCUACUAACUGCCUCCUGCACGGAAACAUUCCCAUUUGCAUACAUACAAGGAUGGCAUUAUUUCUUUCCUCUUAAAAAUGAAAACUCUCCUGAUUUAAUAUCGCCUUCAGCUAGUACCUCAGAGCUCCCCUUUGCUUUAUGGUAACAUUUUUCCUCAAGAGAAUACGCAUCCUCCUUUCUCGCCUCGAAGUCUCUCUUAAAUGCAUUCCAAGCACUGUUGUAUUCUCUCUGCUUAUGUAGAAAUACUGCUGAUAACAGCUCACACAAAUAUAAUACUAUAUUCCAAGCAUUUCAUACGACUCUUUAGUUUUUUAAUAAUUCUCACAACAACCUUCAAGAUAGCUGGCAAAAGUAGAGUUGGCAUUAAAAUCCAAGCAGACACCUCUGAAGUCCCUUCUCUUGGCUACUACACUAUGUCACCUCUCUCACUCACCAGUAAUCUCCGCAUUCUGAAUAUAAUUACUAAACAUUGGUCUUAGUCUUCUCUAACCUAUUAGCAGCACUUAACGCAUGGAUUCUCUCUUUCAAAAAUCUUCCAUGGCCUCCCAUUGGCUUUGGGACUCUACACUCUUCUGGUUUUUCUUCUACUUCAUUGGUUGCAGUUCUCAAGAGGAACAGGGACGAUAAACAAAUGGAAAUCCCUGGUUCUUUGCCCUGAAGGGGGGGAUAUUUAUAUGCAGGAGGUAAGCUUGAUGAGCAAAGUCAUCUUUCUACAGUGUCUGGAGAGAGAAAUUCAAAGCGCUGUGGAUUUAGCACCAGUUCGUUCCUAAGUCUCCUGUGGAACUGUGGACAUUUUCAAGGCUUGGUGCUUAGGCUGCAUUUUAUUUUUAAUUGAAGCAUAGUUGAUUUGCAAUGAUUGUUAGUUUCUGCUGUAGAGCAAAGUGAUUCGGUUGUGUGUAUGUAUGUACACAUAUUUUUUCAUAUUCUUGUCCCUGAUGGUUUAUCACAGGAUGUUGAAUAGAGUUCCGUGUACUUUGUUUAUCCAUUCUAUAUAGAUUGCUUGGAUCUGCUAAUCCCAAACCCCCCAUCCUGCCCCUGCACCCCCUCAACUUGGCAACUGAGAGUCUGUUCUCUUUGUGCUUAAACUACAUUUUGAAAUAUCAGUAGGAGGCUGCCAGAUUGAGACUGUUCUAAGCUGAUGGAAGGCACAUGUGAACAUAGGAACCCAUAGAUACUUGAGGAAUAAUAGGCUCGGUGUGGUCAUUUUCACACACACACGCCUUUAUUUGAUUUUGAAUUAGUACAUCUGGGAAUUAGGCUGCAUUGCCAGCAGAAAUUGCAACAUGCUGUGGGGGGGCUUUGCAGCCACGUUCAGCCGAUCGUACAUUAGAGCCAAGCAGAGCCCUGUUACCAUGUGCUGCCACCCAGGCUGCAUUCACCGCCAAUCUGGUUUCAUUUCUCUGGGGUGGUUCCCAGACAUGGACAUUUUUGCUCCCUGGUGAGUCCAAUGCGUGGCCCGAGCCGAGAACCUUCAGGCCAGAAUAUAAGCAAUGAUGGGAGGAUGAACCGGAGAGCAAAUCUGGAGUUCGAGUCAAGGCUAAGGCUAUAGACAUUUUGGCCUAUGCUGGGGAGUUCGGAUUUUAUGUUCCAAAGCAAGGCUAGAGAAGGCUUUAUGCAAGAUCAGAAUGUGAGCAAACCAGUGUUUUGAGAACAAAAAUAACUCUAAAGAAUGGCCUGAGCCCAGGGGAAAAAAUAUAGUUGACAUAGUAUUGGCAUUUUUUUUUUUCUUGCUUUUUAGGGCCGCACCUGUGGCAUAGUCAAGUUCCAAGGUCAGGGGUCAAAUCAGAGCUGUAGCUGUCAGCCUAUACCACAGCCACAGAGACACAGGAUCCGACCCGCGUCGGCUACCUACACCACAGCUCAGGGCAGCGCCAGAUCCGUAGCACACCGAGCAAGGCCAGAGACGGAACCCGCAGCCUCAUGGGUCCUGGUCAGAUUUGUUUGUGCUGAGCCACAGUGGAACCCCUCAGGGAGUCCAAAUCUUAUUAUUUAGUGGCUUUCGACUGUUUCCUGUGCUCUGAACAUGUCCCAUCCUUAGUUUGGCAAGAAUUUCUCCCUCCCUCCCUUCCUGCUCAAAUAGCACCCAAUACAUCAAACUACACACACCACCCCACCAGUUCCGUCACCCCCUUUUUCAGCUUUUUUUCCUCCCACCCCAUCCAUUACUUCCUUUAAUGAUGAAUUAUUUCUACAAGGAAGAGCAUUGUGGGCACAGGAUGAAUUAUUCAUGAAAGGAAGGAGGGAGGAAAGCAGGAAGGCCUCUUAGGAAAAAAGCUUGUCUUAGGGGAAAAUGCCUGUUUCUGCUUCGAAGUCCGAAAGGCCAGGCUGCAGUGCGGAUGUCAGCAACUCACCUUCCAGGGGAAUAAAAAUAGUAAAGAAACAAGCUGGUAUACUUGGAGGCAUGUGAGCUUGGUGGCAUGAUAAAGGAAAGAAAAGUAAAAAUGUUGCAAGUUAAAUUUUCAGAGCUUUUACUUCCUCGACCCCUAGAUGGUUCAGAGAACAUGACAAGCACAUUCUCAAUUUUUACUCCACGAUUUCCUGUAUGAGAUGCUACCAUUUGGGUCCCCCUAAGAGAGAGAAUAGAAAAUGUGAAAUUCUUUGAAGUCUGCAACCAUCCUUACGUUGUUUAGCACGAGCUUCGGGGGUCUGGGAUGAUGUGAAUUUAAUUAGUGAUUGCUUGAUGCACCUGUUAAAGCCUUGCCUGGGAACCCUCCCUGUACCAGGCACAGCACUAGACCCAGCUCCUCAGGGUGACCCAGACUAGAUGACGUCCCUCAUCUGACUUACAGUUUACCGGAGGCAGACAAGCAUUUAAAUAAAGUGGUAUGAAAUUCAUGCGUCAUACGUUGUCAGGUGGUUUAUGCAUUCAAAGUGAUGGAGAAGUUAAGACAGGCCAAACUUCCUGGAUAUGAAUGAAGGUAAGAAUUUAAAAAAACUUUUAUAUUUAGUAUCUGAAAAUAAUGAUCAAAUGCAUCAUGCUCUCUCAACCUCAUCACUCGGAAUUUGAAGUAGCAAUAAACCCAGGACCAGACGGGGGGUAAACACUUGUUUCCAGAAAAGCUGCUCUGGGAGACACAAAUUGGGAUGGAACUUUGAGUCAGCACUGGGGUUUUUCUGACUUUUCCCGGUCCAGACUUUGGGACAGGGUCAUUUUAAUGUCUUUAAAACACCGCUUUUUGGUAACUGGCCGUGGCAGCCACCUUCAGACCGUCCUGAGGGAAUUCUAGGCGGCAUCACAGCAUCAAUGUUAACAUUUUAGUGCCUACGUGCUUACACUUCAUUACAAUAUAAUGUCUUUUACACUAGUUACAUCUACAAAAGCUCAUUUUCUCUGUCAAAUGAGGUGUCCAGAUGCGAAUUGCCACAACUGACUCUGGUAAGAUGCCUAAUCACACCCUACGUCAAAACCAACAAAGGCCGUCGCACGGUGCUCUCAAGUUCAUAUCUAGGCUCAGCCUAUUCUCAGCCUUGGGACGGGUCACACUCCAAGCUGUCAAGCCACUGUCUUCAACCGGUUCCUUUUCUCUCUUUUAACGUAUAUUUUCUGCAUUUUUACUGCCAUAAUUUUCCCUACACCUCUUCAAUUCUGUGUCUAUGAUUGCUUUGUAGUAUUUCCAGUUCUGAUGAAAUUCCAGGCGUGUUUCCCCAGAAAAGACACUACACCCUGAAUCUUUAUCUUUUCUUCAAAACAUAGCAACGCUCUUUCACGUAUUCCUCGUAUAUAUAUAUUUGAUAUAUAUAUAUAUUUAAUUUAUAUACAUAACAUAUAUUAAACUACAUAGUAUAGAUAUCAGGUUAAUUUGUACAUAUAUUACACAUAUAAAUUAUGUGUGUGUGUAUAUAUAUAUUUAUAUAAAUGUGAAUAUAUACGUAUAUAUUUUUUCCCCAUUAACACUUGCCUGGGUGGAGAAAAUAAAUGAUUGGUUAGGAAUUGUCAUUAAAUCAUGAAAGUGUCUAUCAGAAUUACAGGUGUAACGACAAAGCUAGUGAGGGAGCUACACUGGAAUCGGGGCCCUUUAAUGCUCUUUAAAACAUAACCUGUAGGUAACUGGCUUCUCUACCCACCUCGAAGCCGUCCUCACACCAAUCCCCUUGCUGUAAUAGAAGUUGUACUUUCUCCUUUAUGUGCAGUGGUGCUAAUUAUCCAGAAGGAUGUAGUAUCUCUUGGCACCAGCAUUUUGUCUGCUUAAAUCAUCUAUUGAUUUUAGGCUGAGCCAAACUUCAUGCAGCAAUUUUGUAUUCUGGUUAAGAUCUAAUGCUCUCCAGCCCCAUGGAUACCAAGUUGAAUUCUGGUACCACCAAUCACUUGUUAAAUGACUCAGGCAAGUUUCUCAAACUGUCUACUGCUCAAAUUCCUUGCCUGUGAAAUGGAAGCAAUAAUACUGUCUGCAUGCUUAAAUCAUGCCGUGUCUGAUACACACAAACCAUGUCAAUUAACUGAUUUAUUCUCAUCCCUCUGGUAUGAGUUUAAAUUCUGUCCCCUGGGAAGGUUUUGCUGAUCUCUAGACAAGUUUAAAUCCUUUAUAUAGAUUCAUAGCACACUUACUUCUUCCCUUCUUAGAGCUCAUCAUAUUACACUGAACAAGUGACAUUCACAAUAUUUAAUUUUUUAAAAUAGUUUUUGUUUCCUUCUCUGUGUUUUCACACUGGCUCCAUGGGGUCUUCCUUUUGACAUCUGAGUGCAUUUGAGAAUACGUCCCAGGACUUUCUAAAUUUUUUUUUUUCCUGCACCCAUGACACAUGGAAGUUCCCAAGCCAGAGGUUAAAUCUGUGCCACAGCAGUGACCUAAGCCAUAGCAGCGACCCUGCCAGAUCCUUAACCAGAGAACUCCUUAAUCAUCAUUAAAUAGUAAAAAUCUUUUUGGAUACUUCUAGCCACAAACUCUCUCAGUGUAGAGAUGAAUAUAUCUACUCUAGUGUAAUCAUAACGAAGGCUCAGGGUCAUGAAACUGACCAGUGUCCAUGGGGACUUAGGUCUAGUCCCUGGCCUCCUAAGUGGGUUAAGGUUCCAGCCUUGCUGAGAGCUGUGGUGUAGGUUGCAGAGAUGGCUUGGAUCUGGCAUUGCUGUGGCUGUGACAUAGGCUAACAGCUGUAGCUCUGAUUUGACCCCUAGCCUGGGAACUUCCAUAGGCUGCAGGUGCAGC